AACGAACGCUGGCGGCAUGCCUAACACAUGCAAGUCGAACGAGACCUUCGGGUCUAGUGGCGCACGGGUGCGUAACGCGUGGGAACCUGCCCUUAGGUUCGGAAUAACUCCCCGAAAGGGGUGCUAAUACCGGAUAAUGUCUGCGGACCAAAGAUUUAUCGCCUUUGUAUGGGCCCGCGUUGGAUUAACUAGUUGGUAGGGUAAAAGCCUACCAAGGCGACGAUCCAUAGCUGGUCUGAGAGGAUGAUCAGCCACACUGGGACUGAGACACGGCCCAGAAUCUUACGGGAGGCAGCCGUGGGGAAUCUUGGAAAACCGGCGAAAGCAUGAUCCAGCACUGCCGCGUGAGUGAUGAAGGCCUUAGGGUUGUAAAGCUCUUUUACCCGGGAUGAUAAUGACAGUACCGGGAGAAUAAGCUCCGGCUAACUCCGUG
This 433-nucleotide ribosomal RNA is filed under the name uncultured bacterium. RNAcentral's name for it is "partial 16S ribosomal RNA". It matches the Rfam family "Bacterial small subunit ribosomal RNA", at positions 29 to 507 of the family's 1533-position model. The record is from RNAcentral.